This is an RNA transcript of Cannabis sativa, 7067 nucleotides long. RefSeq lists it as uncharacterized. Lineage: Eukaryota; Viridiplantae; Streptophyta; Magnoliopsida; Rosales; Cannabaceae. The record is from RefSeq and is a predicted model, not a curated record. The transcript is spliced from 9 exons.
UGUACCAUCCAGUGGAGAUGAAGACCACCACCACCACCACCGGGGAAUAGAGAAUAAGGCCACACCCACGCUAUAACCUAUAAAAAGUUAAAAACACAUUUUAUCAACUCCUCCCAUUUUUCAGUCUCAGCCCAGCCCCACCUAAACUCGUUUGGAUUUUCUCCGGCCAGCCUCAAUUUUCGACUUUGCUGAUAUUGAAUUACUUGGUUAGGCUUGAAGACUCUAUCACAAGAAACCGAAAAGGUUGAUGAGUUUGGUGCAGUAAUAUGUGAAGUUAGAAGUUUCAUUAAGGCAACAUGGGAUUUGACAACGAGUGCAUAUUGAACAUUCAAUCUCUUGCUGGAGAGUACUUCUGUCCCGUUUGUCGUCUGCUUGUAUAUCCAAAUGAAGCGUUGCAAUCGCAAUGUACCCAUCUAUAUUGCAAGCCUUGUUUAGCUUAUGUUGUGAAAACUACUCAAGCUUGUCCCUAUGAUGGCUACUUGGUCACAGAAGCAGAUUCCAAGCCACUUAGUGAAUCAAAUAAGGCUCUUGCUGAAACCAUAGGAAAAAUAUCAGUUCAUUGCCUAUAUCAUAGGAGCGGUUGCACGUGGCAGGGAUCUUUAUCUGAUUGUACAUCUCAUUGUUUUGAAUGUGCCUUCGGAAAUUCUCCUGUUGUAUGUAAUAGGUGUGCAAUUCAGAUUGUGCAUCGUCAAGUACAGGAGCAUGCCCAAAAUUGCCCGGGCGUGCAGGCUCAGGCACAGCAGGUAGUGGGUGCUGCAGAAACUUCAGCCGCUGGCACAGCAAGUACUACUGAUCAGCCCCAAACUGCUACUCAGGUAGCAGUUGUGACUUCUCAGGUCCAGCCUUCUCAAACUACAGCUGCGACGGCUCCUGGGAAGGAUCUCAAUCAACAGUCAAUUUCAAGCUCCCAAACCCAAGCUGUUGUGCCUACUACUGAACAAUGGUAUCAUCAACAGCAGCAGUAUCAACAAUAUUACCAGCAGUAUCCUGGGUAUGACUUGUAUCAACAGCAAUAUCAACAGUUUUAUCCAUACCAACAAGCCGCAGCUCCACAAUACCAGCAGCAGUAUGCGCAGGCCCAAGCACCACAUUCUUCUGUUCAAAAUCAAUCCCAGGCGUACAUGCAACCUCAACCCCAACCCCAACCGCUGGCUGCAGUGGCUACUCAACCUCAAAAUCAACCCCAAAUUAUGCUUCCGCAGCAAGGGCAACAUGCAGUCCUACCACAAUCUCAAACUCAACCACAGACUUAUCCACCGGCCCAUGGAAAUCCUCAGCCUCAGCCAUAUUCCCAAAACCAGCUACAUCCACAUCCUCAUUCUCAACAUGUGCAAAUGCCGCAGUAUAUGCAGCCUCCUUCUCAGCUGCAAAGUAAGCAACAGACCCAAUCACAAGUCCAGCCUCUGUAUCAUCCCCCUUCUCAGCCUCAUUUGCUUUCACAAAGUCAGCAACCUGGGCAACUUCAGCAUAAUCUUCAGCAGAACCAGCCUCUUAAUACUAAUUUGCAGUCUCAGACACAGCUUGCAUCAACCCAUGCAGUGACAAGUCAUCAAUCAUAUCUUCAGCCUAACAUUGACCCUCAAGUGCAGAGUGGAACAUCACAACAAUAUGCAGUGCAUGGGCAGUCACAAAAUCCUGCUCAGAUGCAGAGUCAGUACCCUCAACAACUUCCAGUGAUGCGUCCUCUACUUUCUCAUGCUACAAUUCCAGGCCAGCAGCAGCCAGCUUUGGUACCUUCACCAGGUCAAGUCCAGAACAUCCCUUCUGCAGAACAACAGUUAAUCCAAUCACAUUUUCAACAACCAGGGCAACCAGUCCACCAACGUCCUGUUGUGCAGCCAGCUCAACCAACUUUUUCUCAGCAACAUUAUCAACAACAACUACCUAUGUCAUCCCAGUUGCGUCCUCAGGGACAAUCUCAUCUUUUUCCCACUCAAUCUUAUCCUUAUUCACAGCUAUCACAAAAUGUUGCCCUAUCACAUGGCAUGCAACAUGCUAAACCCUCAAACUCAGUUGUAAGGCCUUCCAUGCCUAAUCAGGGAGUACAAUCUCAAUUGUAUUCGCAGCAUGCUGGUGGUCUUGUUAGGCCAGUGUAUCCUGGAGUAAAUCAACAAUCCGCAAGUCAUAAUAGUAUGCUUAUAGCAAAUAACCAGAUGCAACCCCCUUCGGAACAACAUUCCGCUAUGAACUCAAAAUUAACAAUGGCUGAAAAAAAAGUGGAUCACACAUCUGAUAAAGGAACGACCCAGAAUGAAGCUGAAGUUUCCUUGCAAGUAAGUGUAGAAAUUGGUGGGAAUGAUACAGCAGCUAGAGUCAGCGAGAUGGCGAUUGAAAAGCCUGAAACUGAUAUUAAGUCAUUGGACGCUAAUCAAGUGGGUACAACUUCUAAGGAAUUUUCAGAGUCUACAAAGCUGCUGGAAUCAGAGAAUGGAGAACCUAAAUCUAAGCCAAUAAUGAAAGAAGGUAGCCUAGAAAACACUACAGGGCAUUUGAAUAAAGGCGAUCAAAGUGAAGUGGUUGCUGAGGACACAAAAGAUGGUAAUAAGGUAGGGCCUGGGAAAUUGAAUCACUCAAUUGUAGAAGAUAAGAUGACUGUGGAUGGCUCUCCAAACAAGCCAAGUAACUUGCAAGGAGAAUCAACUCAAAAUGUUACUUUAAGUCGUCCACAAGUUGGAGUUGAUGAAAACAGGCAAUCUAGUCAGGUGCUACCUGGUGGUUUUGUAGAACCUUCUCAUUCUUUUCCUGACCAGGGAAAGCAUCAGCUGUUACCAUCACAUUUUGGCCCUUCUAUUCCACAAAGGCCUGGCGGUCCUUCUUUAUUACAAGUACCUCCAGGGCUAGGCCCCCCUCAAACUUAUUUUAGGCCUCAAAGACCUAGACAUGCACCUGAACUCCGGCCACCAAGUAGUAUAAGAGGGCCUCACCUCUCCAAUACUGGUUCUUACAAGACAUCUCAAGGUGAACCUAUUGGAGCUCCAACAUCUGGUGUAUUGCCGCAUCGCCCUUUUGAUUUACAUGGUGGGACGAUGGCUAGAACAAUUCCUCAUGCUUCUGACUUUCCAAAUCAAAGGCCCAAUUACAUGGAUGGUAGGGGGCUUAAUCCCCACAUUCCUGGGUCAUUGGAGCAGAGAACAUUUACUCAGCCGUCCAAUGCUAAUAUGGUGAGGAUAAAUGGCAAUGUGGGUUUUGAUUCCUCAUCAGCAAUUGGGUUACCUGUUCAAGAUGAACGGUUUGAUUCCUUUCCUCCAGGUCCAAAACAUCGUGUUUCUGAUCAAACGGAGUUUGAGCAUGAUCUUAAGCACUUCCCUAGGCCUUCUCUGGAUGCUGAAACUAUGCCAAAGUUUGGGAGUCUAUCUUCUAGGCCCUUUAAUAGGACAGUCCAUGAUCUGAAUUUUGAUAAUGGAUUAAAUGUGGAUCCUGCGGUGGGCCCUGUUCCUUCAAGAUUUAUAUCUUCCUACAAUGAUGGUGGUUCUAAUGAUGUAGGAGAGAGACCAGGUGGCCAUCAUGAAGAUGUUUUUGGAAGAAGAGAGCCCACUCGUGGUCAUCUUGAUUUUUAUGGGCCAGGUCCUGCACAUGGUUGGCAUCAUAUGGACAGUUUGGCUAUGCGAAGUCCGGGUAGAGAACAACCUGGUGUCUCUGUGCAUGGAUUUAGAGGCACAAGUUCUGAUGACAUUCGUGGCAGGGAAGUACAUCGAUUUGGUGAACCAUUUAGAAAUUCAUUUCGUGAUAGUAGGUUGUCGAUGUUGCCUAGCCAUUUGCGCAGGAGUGAGUUUGAGGGUCUGGGUAACAUUGGAAUGGGCAAUCGCUUAAGGCAUGGUUUGAUUGGGCAAGGUGGUUUUCCAAAUCCUCUUCACAGGGGGGAACCUAUGGAUAAGUUUCAUGGUGCUUCAUAUUUUGGAGAGCCAGAUGGUAUUGGAACCCAUCCACGUCAUGCAAGGAUAAGGGAAAUGGGACCUGGGAGUUUUGACUCAUUUGGUGGUGAUGAUAGGUCAAAUCAUCCACACUUUGGUGAGCCUGGAUUCAGGAGCAGCUUUGCAUUUCAUGGGUUUCCAAACGACGGUGACAUUUAUACAGGAGACCUAGCGAUUGACAAAUCAAGAAAGAGAAAACCACCAAGCAUGGGAUGGUGUCGGAUAUGUAAAGUUGACUGUGAAACAGUUGAAGGUUUGGAUUUGCAUUCACAAACAAGAGAGCACCAGAAAAUGGCUAUGGACAUGGUAUUAACUAUCAAGCAGAAUGCUAAAAAGCAAAAAAUCACUUCUGGUGAUCAGUCCUCACUUGGAGAUGCAAGCAAGUCAAAGGAUACUAAAUCUGAGGCUGUGGAGGAAAAAGCUACUUUAUGAUGGCUCUUCAAUUGGAUUUACUCACUCGUCUCUUCCUGUGGGUGGUUUAUGGUAGUUGUCAUUUCAGGUUGCUGCCAUAUUAAUCGAGAUGGUUUUUGGAACAGAAGUUCAAUGGCAAUCUUUUCAAAUCCGACCUGUCUUUUUUCGGAGAAGCAGACAACAUAGAGGCUGAAAGUUCAGGGGAAAGGUUUACUUCAUCAUCUUUUGUAACUUGAUUUUUUUGAGAAUGUGGAAUUUUCCAAUCAUUUUUUUGGGGGUAAACUUUGGGCUUUAUUUAAGUGGUUAUGACUUAUGAGACAGCUUCCUUGAUGUUGGAUGGCAAAAACUGGACUUCCGAUCCUCUCUGCUUCUUUCUUGUGUUUUAAACAGGUUUGUUCUUGUGGUUUUUGUUUAUGCCUUUCGGUUAUUUUAGUGUUUGGAUUUUUAUUUAUAUGGCUAGAUCUUCGUAUUUUUUAUUAAUUAAUUAAUAAUAAUAAUAAUAAUAAUAAUAAUAAUGAUGAUGAUGAUGAAGCAUGGACAACUUAAUUGGUGUGUUGUAUGAAUGAGGACCAUUAAAAGGCUGUCAUUGCCCAUUUCAUAAUUGUUAAGUUGAAUAUUUUUGCUAAUAUAAUUUAAUUUUAAUUUUUUUAAAGAUCUAAUAUUGCUAGCCCUUCGUACCUUGGAAGAGCUUUUUUUUUCUUUCAUUUCAGUAUGUAUUUGUAUUUAUAAAAGUAAUAACAGGAAAUUCAAUUUAAAAUAAAAUAUUACGAGAAAAAUUAAAAAUUGAAGGAUGUAUAUAUAUUAAAAAUUGAUCAUUUGUAUUUAUAUUUAGGGUAAUUUGUGGCAUAAAUACUUAAAUUUAAUUCCUAGUUGUAAAUGAAUACUUAAGUUUAAUUUUUUGCAGUAAUAAUACUUAAGAUAUAUUUUUAGAGCUCUGUAAGUAUCUAACCGUUAAACAUUCUCAUUAGUAUAUUUAAAUUAUUUUUUUUUUUUGAAAAAUAAAAUUUUAAUGACUUGGACCAAUUAGGAAUUGACACGUAGCAAUUUAUUUAACACUUAACUGUUAGGUACUUACACAAGUUAUGUAUUAAUAAUUUAGGUAUUUAUUUAUAACUAGUAGUUAAACUUAAGUAUUUAUGGUGUAAAUUAUUUUUAUAUUUAUAAAAUAAUACGAGAAAAUUUAAUAUAAAAAACAAAAUAAUGGUUUUUUUUUAUUAUUAUUAUUACUAUGAGGGAAAUUAAAAAUAAAAUAAUGGAUAUUUAUCACUCUCUCGGCACCAUUUUUAGACAAAUCAAAACACAAAACCACGUAAAAUUAGAACAAAUAUUUAAAAGAUUGCUACAACAAAUAAACUUAAAUAUUAAGUUUAUAAAAAAAAAAAAAAAACUUAAUGAUAAGUAUGUAUAUAAUAUAAUUAGAACAAAUAUUUUCGUAGAGUGUAAUUUCUCAUUCAAUUUCUUUUUCUAGCGCAACAUAACACAUAACCACUGGCUAUUAUAGUUUUGGUAGGGGCAUAGGAAUUCUGCAGGUUAGGUAUUCGUUAUAUAUGCAGAUACAGUGCAUAAGAAGCACCCUACAAAUUUUUUAUAUAUUUAUAAUAUCUAAAUGCUAUUUACACCUCAAUAUUAUAACACAUGCGCAAAAGUAUUUUGAAUUUAAUAGCAUGCCAAAAGUAAUGAGCAUAUCCUUUUUUUUUUUCAGUAAGUAGAUUUAUUGCUUUUUAAAUUUAUUUGUCGCAUAAAUAUUUUUCGUAAGAGCAUUGCUAUUAGGCACCAGUGGUGCUUAGCACCUUCUCGACAUGUCACGUUGCGAUUGGCUAGCGAUACUCCCUAAAAGUUAUUAUAUUAAAUUAUAUGGGACCCGAUACUUAGAUGGACCAAUAGCGAUAUCGACACAUAGGAGGGUACUAGGCACUAAUAGUGUCCUUUAGCAUUUCUCUUUUCGUGAAAUGACACAAGUAACCUUUUUUUAAAAAAUAAAAUAAAAUAGUGUAUUCUUUAUUUUAUUAUAAAGUGAAUCGACAAAACGUGUCACAUUUUUUUUUUGUUGGUAAUUGUGUGUGUUUUAAUUUAGGGCUUGGGAAGAAAGGUAGAAUCCUAACUAUGAAAGUUAAGACAGUCCUUCGAGAUUUGAAUAGUAAAAUACAAGAUAAAAAUUUAAUUAAAAUUUUGAACUCUAAAAAAAUUAGAGACUCCAUAAACUUUUGGCUAAAAAAAUCAGGUUUCUAAUAUUUUUAACAAACGAAAAUUGAAGAUCAUGCUAUAUGAAUGUUCUGUGUUCUUCACAAGUUGUUGCUGGAAUAGGUUAAGGUGCCUAAAUAUAACAAAAUUCUGUAACUAAAAUAUUUUUGAAGGGGUGUAUAAUUUUUUUAUCAAUUUUUUUUAAAUAAAAAUAAAGGGUUUGGAAUGUAGUGAAAAUAGACCUAAUUUAAUUAUAAUAAUGUUAUGAUAUUGAAAUUGCUUGAGUAGAUCCAGCAUUUAUCUUAGUGGAAAACUUAGUUAUCAUGAUUCAUCAAUAAUGAUUUCCUAAUUACUGCUGUGCAUUUUUUUUUCUUCCUAACAUUUACUUGAAGCUCAGCUUUACUGGGUCUCUCUGCAAGAUAUUGACGGUGAAUUUCGGCUGGGAAUCUCUUUCGCCUGGGAGCUGUUUUUCUUUUAUCAAUUGUUGUAAACGUUUUUUGAUUCCUGAAUGUAUUUAAUUCAAAAAAAAAAAGUUCAUUAAAAUGUUAUUCUGGAUUGUCUGAA